This 301-nucleotide ribosomal RNA is filed under the name uncultured bacterium. Its description in RNAcentral is "partial 16S ribosomal RNA". It matches the Rfam family "Bacterial small subunit ribosomal RNA", at positions 509 to 807 of the family's 1533-position model. The record is from RNAcentral.
CAGCCGCCGCGGUAAUACGGAGGGUGCAAGCGUUAAUCGGAAUUACUGGGCGUAAAGCGCACGCAGGCGGUUUGUUAAGUCAGAUGUGAAAUCCCCGAGCUUAACUUGGGAACUGCAUUUGAAACUGGCAAGCUAGAGUCUUGUAGAGGGGGGUAGAAUUCCAGGUGUAGCGGUGAAAUGCGUAGAGAUCUGGAGGAAUACCGGUGGCGAAGGCGGCCCCCUGGACAAAGACUGACGCUCAGGUGCGGAAGCGUGGGGAGCAAGCAGGAUUAGAUACCCCAGUAGUCCCUGUCUCUUAUAC